RNAcentral lists this ribosomal RNA (1444 nucleotides) under uncultured organism. RNAcentral's name for it is "SSU rRNA". It matches the Rfam family "Bacterial small subunit ribosomal RNA". The record is from RNAcentral.
AACGAACGCUGGCGGCGUGGAUAAGACAUGCAAGUCGAACGGGAGAAUUGCUAGCUUGCUAAUAAUUCUCUAGUGGCGCACGGGUGAGUAACACGUGAGUAACCUGCCUCUUAGUGGGGGAUAGCCCUGGGAAACCGGGAUUAAUACCGCAUACGAUUGAAAGAUCAAAGCAGCAAUGCGCUAGGAGAUGGGCUCGCGGCCUAUUAGUUAGUUGGUGAGGUAACGGCUCACCAAGGCGAUGACGGGUAGCCGGUCUGAGAGGAUGUCCGGCCACACUGGAACUGAGACACGGUCCAGACACCUACGGGUGGCAGCAGUCGAGAAUCAUUCACAAUGGGGGCAACCCUGAUGGUGCGACGCCGCGUGGGGGAAUGAAGGUCUUCGGAUUGUAAACCCCUGUCAUGUGGGAGCAAAUUAAAAAGAUAGUACCACAAGAGGAAGAGACGGCUAACUCUGUGCCAGCAGCCGCGGUAAUACAGAGGUCUCAAGCGUUGUUCGGAAUCACUGGGCGUAAAGCGUGCGUAGGCUGUUUCGUAAGUCGUGUGUGAAAGGCAGGGGCUCAACCCCUGGAUUGCACAUGAUACUGCGAGACUAGAGUAAUGGAGGGGGAACCGGAAUUCUCGGUGUAGCAGUGAAAUGCGUAGAUAUCGAGAGGAACACUCGUGGCGAAGGCGGGUUCCUGGACAUUAACUGACGCUGAGGCACGAAGGCCAGGGGAGCGAAAGGGAUUAGAUACCCCUGUAGUCCUGGCAGUAAACGGUGCACGCUUGGUGUGCGGGGAAUCGACCCCCUGCGUGCCGGAGCUAACGCGUUAAGCGUGCCGCCUGGGGAGUACGGUCGCAAGAUUAAAACUCAAAGAAAUUGACGGGGACCCGCACAAGCGGUGGAGUAUGUGGCUUAAUUCGAUGCAACGCGAAGAACCUUACCUGGGCUUGACAUGUAAUGAACAACAUGUGAAAGCAUGCGACUCUUCGGAGGCGUUACACAGGUGCUGCAUGGCCGUCGUCAGCUCGUGUCGUGAGAUGUUUGGUUAAGUCCAGCAACGAGCGCAACCCCUGUUGCCAGUUACCAGCACGUCAAGGUGGGGACUCUGGCGAGACUGCCCAGAUCAACUGGGAGGAAGGUGGGGACGACGUCAGGUCAGUAUGGCCCUUAUGCCCAGGGCUGCACACGUACUACAAUGCCCAGUACAGAGGGGGCCGAAGCCGCGAGGCGGAGGAAAUCCUGAAAACUGGGCCCAGUUCGGACUGUAGGCUGCAACCCGCCUACACGAAGCCGGAAUCGCUAGUAAUGGCGCAUCAGCUACGGCGCCGUGAAUACGUUCCCGGGUCUUGUACACACCGCCCGUCACAUCAUGGAAGCCGGUCGCACCCGAAGUAUCUGAAGCCAACCGCAAGGAGGCAGGGUCCUAAGGUGAGACUGGUAACUGGGAUGAAGUCAUAAC